AUAUGGGAUGUUUGGGGUUCCCCCACUGGCGGAGGUUAUGGGGCAGGGGUGGGAGGUUAUGGGGCGGAGAUGGGAGCUUAUAGGGUUCCCCCCCAAUGGCGGUUAUGGGGCAGGGAUGGGAGAUUUGGGGUUCCCCCACUGGUGGUGGUUAUGGGGAAGGAAUGGGAGCAUAUGGGGUUUCCCCCCCAGCAGUGGUUAUGGGGUGGAUAUGGGGUGGUUAUGGGGCAGGGAUGGGAGGUUAUGGGGUCGUGAUGAAAAGUUAUGGGGUUCCCCCUCCCCCAGUGGCGGUUAUGGGGUGGUUAUGGGGUGGUUAUGGGGCCAUUAUGGGUCCCAUCCCCCAGCAGCAGUUAUGGGAUGGUUAUGGGGUGGUUAUGGGUCCCAUCCCCCAGCAGCAGUUAUGGGGUGGUUAUGGGGUUCCCCUCCCAGCAACCGUUAUGGGGUGAUUAUGGGAUGUUUCAGAUUCCCGCCCCCCUCCCCCUGCUGGCGGUUAUGGGGCAGGGAUGGGAGAUUUGGGGUCCCCCCGAUGGCGGUUAUGGGGCAGAUAUGGGAGGUUAUGGGGUUGCCCCCCCCAGCGGCGGUUAUGGGGCAGAUAUGGGAAGUUUGGGGUCCCCCUGCUGGCGGUUAUGGGGCAGAUAUGGGAAGUUUGGGGUCCCCCUGCUGGCGGUUAUGGGGCAGAUAUGGGAGGUUAUGGGGUUUCCCCCCCCUGCUGGCAGAUAUGGGGCAGAUAUGGGAAGUUUGGGGUCCCCCUGAUGGUGGUUAUGGGGCAGAUAUGGGAGGUUAUGGGGCUGCCCCCCCAGCGGUGGUUAUGGGGUAGGGAUGGGCGUUUGGGGUUCCCCUCCCCAGUGGCCCCUAUGGGGCAGCUAUGGGGCCACACUGGUACCGCUAUGGGGCCACUAUGGGGCGGCUGUGGGCAGUUAUGGGGCAGCUACGGGGACACUGUGGGGCAGCUAUGGGGUAGCUAUGGGGCGGCUAUGGGGCAGCUAUGGGGUGGGUAUGGGGCAGCUAUGGUGCUGCUAUGGGGCAACUAUAGUGCUGCUAUAGGGCAGCUAUGGGGCAGCUAUGAGCAGUUAUGGGGCAGCUAUGGGGGAGCUACAGAGCCACAAUGGUGCUGCUAUAGGGCAGCUAUGGGGUGGCUAUGGGGCUGCUAUGGGGCCGCAAUGGGGCCACCUUGGUGCUGCUAUAGGGCAGCUAUGGGGCCAGAACGAUGCCGCUAUAGGGCCGCAAUGGUGCCGCUAUGGGGCUGCUAUGGGGCCACAUUGGUGCUGCUAUGGGGCCGCUAUGGGGCGGCUAUGAAACCACAAUGGUGCUGCUAUGGGGCCACAUUAUUGCUGCUAUGGGGCCACAUUGGUGCUGCUAUGGGGCCGCUAUGGGGCUGCUGUGGGGCCAUAUUGGCGCUGCUAUGGGGUGGCUAUGGGGCUGCUAUGGGGCCACAAUGGUGCUGCUAUGGGGCAGCUAUGGGGCCAGAAGGACGGCGCUAUGGGGCAGCUAUGGGGCCAGAAGGAUGACGCUAUGGGUCCGCU
This is a long non-coding RNA of Phasianus colchicus (ring-necked pheasant), 1520 nucleotides long. Lineage: Eukaryota; Metazoa; Chordata; Aves; Galliformes; Phasianidae. The record is from Ensembl.